GGUUAAGCGACUAAGCGUACACGGUGGAUGCCCUGGCAGUCAGAGGCGAUGAAGGACGUGCUAAUCUGCGAUAAGCGUCGGUGAGGUGAUAUGAACCGUUAUAACCGGCGAUUUCCGAAUGGGGAAACCCAGUGUGUUUCGACACACUAUCAUUAACUGAAUCCAUAGGUUAAUGAGGCGAACCGGGGGAACUGAAACAUCUAAGUACCCCGAGGAAAAGAAAUCAACCGAGAUUCCCCCAGUAGCGGCGAGCGAACGGGGAGGAGCCCAGAGCCUGAAUCAGUGUGUGUGUUAGUGGAAGCGUCUGGAAAGGCGUGCGAUACAGGGUGACAGCCCCGUACACAAAAAUGCACAUAUUGUGAGCUCGAUGAGUAGGGCGGGACACGUGGUAUCCUGUCUGAAUAUGGGGGGACCAUCCUCCAAGGCUAAAUACUCCUGACUGACCGAUAGUGAACCAGUACCGUGAGGGAAAGGCGAAAAGAACCCCGGCGAGGGGAGUGAAAAAGAACCUGAAACCGUGUACGUACAAGCAGUGGGAGCCUCUUAAUGGGGUGACUGCGUACCUUUUGUAUAAUGGGUCAGCGACUUAUAUUCUGUAGCAAGGUUAACCGAAUAGGGGAGCCGAAGGGAAACCGAGUCUUAACUGGGCGUUAAGUUGCAGGGUAUAGACCCGAAACCCGGUGAUCUAGCCAUGGGCAGGUUGAAGGUUGGGUAACACUAACUGGAGGACCGAACCGACUAAUGUUGAAAAAUUAGCGGAUGACUUGUGGCUGGGGGUGAAAGGCCAAUCAAACCGGGAGAUAGCUGGUUCUCCCCGAAAGCUAUUUAGGUAGCGCCUCGUGAAUUCAUCUCCGGGGGUAGAGCACUGUUUCGGCAAGGGGGUCAUCCCGACUUACCAACCCGAUGCAAACUGCGAAUACCGGAGAAUGUUAUCACGGGAGACACACGGCGGGUGCUAACGUCCGUCGUGAAGAGGGAAACAACCCAGACCGCCAGCUAAGGUCCCAAAGUCAUGGUUAAGUGGGAAACGAUGUGGGAAGGCCCAGACAGCCAGGAUGUUGGCUUAGAAGCAGCCAUCAUUUAAAGAAAGCGUAAUAGCUCACUGGUCGAGUCGGCCUGCGCGGAAGAUGUAACGGGGCUAAACCAUGCACCGAAGCUGCGGCAGCGACACUAUGUGUUGUUGGGUAGGGGAGCGUUCUGUAAGCCUGUGAAGGUGGCCUGUGAGGGUUGCUGGAGGUAUCAGAAGUGCGAAUGCUGACAUAAGUAACGAUAAAGCGGGUGAAAAGCCCGCUCGCCGGAAGACCAAGGGUUCCUGUCCAACGUUAAUCGGGGCAGGGUGAGUCGACCCCUAAGGCGAGGCCGAAAGGCGUAGUCGAUGGGAAACAGGUUAAUAUUCCUGUACUUGGUGUUACUGCGAAGGGGGGACGGAGAAGGCUAUGUUGGCCGGGCGACGGUUGUCCCGGUUUAAGCGUGUAGGCUGGUUUUCCAGGCAAAUCCGGAAAACCAAGGCUGAGGCGUGAUGACGAGGCACUACGGUGCUGAAGCGACAAAUGCCCUGCUUCCAGGAAAAGCCUCUAAGCAUCAGGUAACAUCAAAUCGUACCCCAAACCGACACAGGUGGUCAGGUAGAGAAUACCAAGGCGCUUGAGAGAACUCGGGUGAAGGAACUAGGCAAAAUGGUGCCGUAACUUCGGGAGAAGGCACGCUGAUAUGUAGGUGAAGCGACUUGCUCGUGGAGCUGAAAUCAGUCGAAGAUACCAGCUGGCUGCAACUGUUUAUUAAAAACACAGCACUGUGCAAACACGAAAGUGGACGUAUACGGUGUGACGCCUGCCCGGUGCCGGAAGGUUAAUUGAUGGGGUUAGCGG
RNAcentral lists this ribosomal RNA (1868 nucleotides) under Escherichia coli. Its description in RNAcentral is "partial 23S ribosomal RNA". It matches the Rfam family "Bacterial large subunit ribosomal RNA", at positions 1 to 1896 of the family's 2925-position model. The record is from RNAcentral. Lineage: Bacteria; Pseudomonadati; Pseudomonadota; Gammaproteobacteria; Enterobacterales; Enterobacteriaceae.